Long non-coding RNA from Ictalurus punctatus (channel catfish), 900 nucleotides. Lineage: Eukaryota; Metazoa; Chordata; Actinopteri; Siluriformes; Ictaluridae. The record is from Ensembl.
GUCUAGUACGACAUGACCUAACCCACCAUUCCUCAAGAUGCAUGGGAUAUACCUCAAGACUCCUCAGUUUUCUGCUACUUAGGUAGUCCACACAGCUGAGUGACUGGCUUUCUUCAAACCAAGGUGAAAGAAAAAGAAAUGUGGAAGAGAGGGAGAGACAAAGAGGGAGCUAUUGAUCGACCCUUGGGCCAAACACUUGUGACUGUUCACAUGUCCAGCAUCGUUACUCUUGUUUGAUAAUUCUCCUCAUUUUCCUGAGUCUGUCCAUUCAGUAUUCCGGGUUUUCUCAGUUACAGAAGAUUUGACCAUGUAGCGGGAAGAGUGUGCACUCUGGUGGUCUAUACUGGAGCUGCAAAGAGAAUAAAACAACCAGAAUUGAAAUGGCUAAAAGGGAAAAAAGACGGCGAGUACAAUCAUCCCAGUCCGAACGAACAGACGAAUUUGCAUAUUUGGAAGUCACAUUAAUGCCUAGGUGUACGGAAAGUCUUGGCUUCAACUGUAAUAAUUGGAGACACAGCCUUCCUGUAAUGACAUCUGCAUCAGAAAAGUUGCAUGAAGAUUUGAACUGGAGUCCACUGGAUCUCCACCUCAGCAGUACAACAGACGGACAGCGUUCCUCCAUCACGCUGCAUGCGUCGGACGUUGACUUUCGUCACAUAAGGUCACAAACGGCCGCUCAUCCAGAGAUCUCCAGCAAGCACACGUCUUGCAAAGUGAGAAAAAUAGUUAUGCCACGUCUCUGUUAACAUUAGAUCCUCUCAGGGUGAAGAAGUGAGUCAUCGCCUAGCAACUCUCCUCAUGGCCACAAGCGUCCUAUUUUCCAAAGACGUAGCAUUUUUCACUUCACUAUGCCCUUAUAAAAGGACUCGGCUGAAAAACCAUGACAACAUGUGCAAUUAG